CGUUUAGGGGUAAACCUGAGAAACCCGAAAGGUCGAAGGGAGAAAUUCAUUCGCGUUUCGUCACGAGCGCCGGUCGGUCGUGUGACGGCGAACGUUCGCGUUCGCCGCACCCUCCGAUCGUGCGAUCUCGAGGCGAACGCGUGCACUUUUCUCCUGGUAGGACGUCGCGAUCCGUCGGGCGUCGGUCUACGGUUCGCGGUGGAGUCCGUCGAUCGCGUUCGCGCGCGUAUCGACGAACCCGUGAUAUUUCCCGGCCGACACGCUCGACGGUAUACCGAUGGUUCAGGGCCGCUGCUCUAAGUAGCGUCCGGCUCGCGGCAAGAGCGUUAGAUGUGUCGGUGAUCGGACCCGGUGCCGGUCCCGGCCUCUGACGACUGUUGGCCGCGAAGUUCUCGGACAGACCUUCGGACCGAUCGGCGACGCUAUAGCUUUGGGUACUUUCAGGACCCGUCUUGAAACACGGACCAAGGAGUCUAGCAUGUGCGCGAGUCAUUGGGAAUCGCAAAACCUAAAGGCGUAAUGAAAGUAAAGAUCUUCCUCGCGAAGAUCGAGGGAAGACGGGUGUUUCGCCCUCAAAAGCGACCGCCUCGCACUCCCGGGGCGUCUCGUUCUCAUCGCGAGAAGAGGCGCACCAAAAGCGUACACGCUGGGACCCGAAAGAUGGUGAACUAUGCCUGGU
RNAcentral lists this ribosomal RNA (679 nucleotides) under Lanurgus beaveri. RNAcentral's name for it is "Lanurgus sp. 1 BHJ-2021a partial large subunit ribosomal RNA". It matches the Rfam family "Eukaryotic large subunit ribosomal RNA", at positions 406 to 841 of the family's 3401-position model. Lineage: Eukaryota; Metazoa; Arthropoda; Insecta; Coleoptera; Curculionidae. The record is from RNAcentral.